AGCUUGCUCCCUGAAGUCAGCGGCGGACGGGUGAGUAACACGUGGGCAACCUGCCUGUAAGACUGGGAUAACUUCGGGAAACCGGAGCUAAUACCGGAUAAUUCUUUCCCUCACAUGAGGGAAAGCUGAAAGAUGGUUUCGGCUAUCACUUACAGAUGGGCCCGCGGCGCAUUAGCUAGUUGGUGAGGUAACGGCUCACCAAGGCAACGAUGCGUAGCCGACCUGAGAGGGUGAUCGGCCACACUGGGACUGAGACACGGCCCAGACUCCUACGGGAGGCAGCAGUAGGGAAUCUUCCGCAAUGGACGAAAGUCUGACGGAGCAACGCCGCGUGAGUGAUGAAGGUUUUCGGAUCGUAAAACUCUGUUGUUAGGGAAGAACAAGUACCGGAGUAACUGCCGGUACCUUGACGGUACCUAACCAGAAAGCCACGGCUAACUACGUGCCAGCAGCCGCGGUAAUACGUAGGUGGCAAGCGUUGUCCGGAAUUAUUGGGCGUAAAGCGCGCGCAGGCGGUUCCUUAAGUCUGAUGUGAAAGCCCCCGGCUCAACCGGGGAGGGUCAUUGGAAACUGGGGAACUUGAGUGCAGAAGAGAAGAGUGGAAUUCCACGUGUAGCGGUGAAAUGCGUAGAGAUGUGGAGGAACACCAGUGGCGAAGGCGACUCUUUGGUCUGUAACUGACGCUG
This 686-nucleotide ribosomal RNA is filed under the name Bacillus sp. (in: firmicutes). Its description in RNAcentral is "bacterial SSU rRNA". It matches the Rfam family "Bacterial small subunit ribosomal RNA", at positions 77 to 748 of the family's 1533-position model. The record is from RNAcentral. Lineage: Bacteria; Bacillati; Bacillota; Bacilli; Caryophanales; Bacillaceae.